This is a long non-coding RNA of Dermacentor albipictus, 945 nucleotides long. RefSeq lists it as uncharacterized. NCBI's taxonomy places the organism in Eukaryota, Metazoa, Arthropoda, Arachnida, Ixodida, Ixodidae. The record is from RefSeq and is a predicted model, not a curated record.
UCAACCAUUUGGCGGGAAACCAGGUCAGCUGCUUCGCCGCUCUUUCAUCAUUGGCUCUGCAGAGUGGCGUUUGUCUGCCGAGUUCUUCAUUCUGCCGAUCGUAGUCAUUGUCCAGCCUUCGUAGUCGGGCCAGCUACACUUGCAGCUGCGUAUGUGUCAGGCCUCCAAGAAGCUGUCCUGGCGAGAGGGCAGUGCGCAGGCUCUCCUCUACUACCUGGGCAUCGCGGUUCGUUGGCAACAGCAGCUGCAUUUCGGCCACCACACCAUCAGGUUCUCUGCACAGAAAGAAUGCAGCAUCCGCAGGUGGUACUCUUCCAGGCUUGGUGGUGGCAGUGUUGUUGGUGCUGAAGGCUUCCUUGGGCCACCUUUUGGCGUGUACCGCGGUGGAUAGAUGCUCGGCCCUGCACCUGUGUCUUCUGCUGGCGAUGAAGCCUUGGUACCUCCUCCCGGUGAUGGGCGUGGAGGUGGUCUGGUACCACCUGUACCAGAGCCAUUGGGAGCGAGAUACCAUGACUGAAGUUACGCAUUGCGAAUGCACCACCUACCAUGGCCUUGUUUGUAGAGAAGCCAAUGCCUGUCCACUUGUUGCUACGCGUGGUGAUGGUGAAGGCAACCUGGUCAGAAGAGGCCUGGUAGUGCCAGCUGGCUGUAUACUCGCAGUCGUCGGCAGCACAUGAAUCGGGGAAACGCCAGGAGCCUGAGCAAGCAGCAUCUGAGCUCCCACCUGCGACAUUGCCCAUCUCGCAGAAGCACUGUGUCCGUGGAUAUGAAGUGGCAUCGAUGUUCACGCAGCGGCCAUGCUGUCCACAAUCCGGGUCAAUCCAGCACUCGUCUGCACCAAGAAAUUAAUGACAGCGAUGAAUUCAGUUUCAUUUGUGCAGUGUUGGCUGUUCUACAAAUCGCAGCACUUGCGUAUAAAGGCCGUGAGGCAAGUUAUAGAAACAA